CUCAGUCACAUCAUCAUCGUCUAGGAUCAGUCGACUCCCACUCCCAGUCGACUAAUAUACCCGACUUCAGUUCCUCUCUAAGUGCCUCCUCCACUCUUUCUACGAACACCGACUCAUCUCCGACCUUCUCUCUCAUCUCCGACCCAGCACCUCCGCCCACCGGCCGAGCACACAACCAACGGUCCCUCUAGAGAUCUUCGAGAAGCUGCAACAACGACUGCUGGUUUUACAAAGCUCAGGAAGAAAUUGUGUCCAUACAAGUUCUUAGCAUGAGGAGACUUGGAGGAGUUGGGGCUGUUGUUCCUCUCAUCACAGAUGGUCAGGCUGAGGUGAUGAGAACCUCUGUGAUCAUGGAGUUAAUAUAAUGUUAUUCCCUAACAAGUACACGGGAUAUGAGUGAGUGUUUAUACAUUUUUAGUUUAUUAACUUUUGAGUUAGUUUGAUCUAAUUUCUUGACUCUGUGGGUGAAAGGACCACGCUUUCCGAUGUGCAAGGUAUGAAGAUGAACCAUUUCAUUGUGUCACUCAUUUGCUAAAUGCUUUGGCUGUUUGGAUAUGCUUUUUCUACAGUAUUAUUUACCUAAAAUACCACAAAUUCUAUGGACUUACUUCAUGUCCCUUGCUUAGAAUAUUUAUUGCUUGUUGAGGCAUCUAUAUUGUGGUUAUGGUAUGUAUAGAAGUAACUUUAAAAAUUUUGGUACACUCUUCCCAGCUAUGUUCUAACAUAAAUAAAGGGUAGCCAGACCUACAAAGUUGAUUGCUUAUAUGAUGUCCUUCAUAGUACAAGAAUGAUUUAAGAGGCUCGCAAAAGGAAGAUUUAAUGUAGAUUUAAAAGCUGAAGAAGAAGAACUAAAAGUGCAAGAGAAAUUGGAGCUCUGCACUCUUCAGGUUGCCAAAAAUAAACUUAUGAAACACGUUGAAGAUUUGACAUUGAGAUUACAACUAGAAAAACUGUACAUGUAGCUUCUUUAUGGACUCAUGCUGCAAUCUGGCUUAGCUCAUUUUAGUGGUUGGAGAUCCAGAAAUGAGAAGAGAUGGACUAUGAGAAGAGAUGGACUGAGAGUGGCCUUUGAAGCUUCAAAGUUUUGCAAUGAAGGUAAUAAAGAAGCUCCUCACAUGGGCAGCCCCAGUGCUGAUUGUUUUGAUCUCUUAGUACUCUAGAUUAAAUAUUAUUUAUUUUUAACUUACAUAUGAACUUUAUUUUUUAUUUCUUUAAAAAUUUAAAAUCCCAAAUCUAGAAAAUUAAAAGUUUAGAUUUAUAAUCUUUACAAAUAUGAAAAACUUAAAUAGAUCUAUCUACCAUUGUUGUUGUCGUUGCUUA
Molecule: RNA transcript, 1320 nt
Organism: Cannabis sativa
Lineage: Eukaryota; Viridiplantae; Streptophyta; Magnoliopsida; Rosales; Cannabaceae
Exons: 6
Source: RefSeq, a predicted model, not a curated record